CCUACGGGAGUCAGCAGUAGGGAAUUUUCGGCAAUGGGGGGAACCCUGACCGAGCAACGCCGCGUGAACGAAGAAGUUAUUCGUAAUGUAAAGUUCUUUUAACAGGGAAGAAAGAGAAAUUUGACGGUACCUGAAGAAUAAGCUCCGGCUAACUACGUGCCAGCAGCCGCGGUAAUACGUAGGGAGCGAGCGUUAUCCGGAAUUAUUGGGCGUAAAGGGUGCGUAGAUGGCAUAGUAAGUCUUGUGGAAAAAUGCUGGCCUAAACCCAGUAGGGCAAAAGAUACUGCAAAGCUAGAGUAUGACAGAGGCAAGUGGAACUAAAUGUGUAGCGGUAAAAUGCGUAGAUAUAUGUAAGAACACCAGUGGCGAAGGCGGCUUGCUGGGUCGAUACUGACAUUGAGGCACGAAAGCGUGGGGAGCAAACAGGAUUAGAUACCCGAGUAGUC
This 446-nucleotide ribosomal RNA is filed under the name uncultured bacterium. RNAcentral describes it as "partial 16S ribosomal RNA". It matches the Rfam family "Bacterial small subunit ribosomal RNA", at positions 338 to 795 of the family's 1533-position model. The record is from RNAcentral.